UACGGAGGAUCCGAGCGUUAUCCGGAUUUAUUGGGUUUAAAGGGUGCGUAGGUGGAUUGGUAAGUCAGUGGUGAAAGUUUGCAGCUUAACUGUAAAAUUGCCGUUGAAACUGACGGUCUUGAGUGCAAAUGAGGUAGGCGGAAUGCGUCGUGUAGCGGUGAAAUGCUUAGAUAUGACGCAGAACUCCGAUUGCGAAGGCAGCUUACUGGGAUGCAACUGACGCUGAGGCACGAAAGCGUGGGUAUCAAACAGGAUUAGAUA
This 261-nucleotide ribosomal RNA is filed under the name uncultured prokaryote. Its description in RNAcentral is "partial 16S ribosomal RNA". It matches the Rfam family "Bacterial small subunit ribosomal RNA", at positions 524 to 784 of the family's 1533-position model. The record is from RNAcentral.